AAAAAACCAUAAUAAGCUGUAUCAGUUGUGUUGAGUAAAUAAAAAUAUGUUUUCAUUUUACAUUCCAAUUCUACCAUUAAGUUAUCCCCCUGAUAUUUGAGGCCUGCCAUUGGAUCUCGUGUAUUCUGCCCUUGUCAUUGCCCAACUCUCUUAUGCUUAUCAUAUUUUAGCCUUCUGUAAAAUAAAUGUUUUAUAUAGUAUCAGAGCACGCCAUUUUAAUGUCAUACUUUGUCAGUCAUGUAGAGUGUCAUUCACUGUGAUUUAAUGUUGUUGUCAUUUGUAACUUGUAUGCCACAUUGUAUGCUGCUGUCACUAGAGUCCAGUCGUGUGACUGUCCUGUCGGUUUUUUGGAACUUCUAAGUUUAUUGGCAAAAUGUAUGCACAAAGUUUAAAAGCUAAAUUAUUUGAUUUGAUAAACUGUUGCUGUUACAGAUUUCAUUUGUAAUUACAAAAGCAUUUUUUUUU
Non-coding RNA from Biomphalaria pfeifferi, 465 nucleotides. The record is from the annotation of a GenBank genome assembly. Lineage: Eukaryota; Metazoa; Mollusca; Gastropoda; Planorbidae.